AUGAGAAAGUGUUGGCAUAUGCAGUUGUAUAUGUUACCUUGGACAUUCGCUGUGCAUUUAUCAGCGAAAAUCAAAGGCGUAAAAUCGCACAUCAAUGUGAGGUCCAAAAGUAGUAGGUGGACUAAUAAGGUCGAUGGGAAAGGCCGCGGAAGCCCCAAGAUUCUUGUGUGCCAUGAGCAGCCAGAUGAAGGUAAGGAACUCCCCUCCUCUGGCCAGCUGGGUCGCGUGCGUCUCGGGCCGCGACCUGCUUGCAGCGUACAUGAUGAUCCUCACCCACAUGUCUCUCAUCUCCUCCAGUGUUUCUUUGCAUGGUUCUGGUAA
This 321-nucleotide ribosomal RNA is filed under the name Triticum aestivum (bread wheat). Its description in RNAcentral is "partial small subunit ribosomal RNA". Lineage: Eukaryota; Viridiplantae; Streptophyta; Magnoliopsida; Poales; Poaceae. The record is from RNAcentral.